CCACUUCUGAGCCAUGCCACACCACCAACCCAUGCCCAUGCUGGCCUUGAGCAAGAGGGCGUGAAAGCCUGCUUUUACAUCAUAGAUACUUGUGAUGAAUUUUUUUUGAGUGCCAUUUCAUAAGCAUAUUUAUUUAGGCUUUAUUCCUUCUAGGCCUUCAAGAACAAGUUGUUCCUCAAUCCAACCUUUUCAACAUUGUUAUUCACCUUCAUACUCUGGGAAAAACCCCUUCUUCUCUUGUCCCUCACUCUUUGAUACAGUCUCAGACAGUAGGAUAUCCAUGGACAGCAACUUGCCUCCCAAUGAUAGUGGAAGUUCCCAGCUCCAGCUGGUGCCCAAGGACAGGGUUUCCCUCCCUGCUCCUGACUGCACUGCACCUUGGAAGAGCUGCAGCCCUGCCUGCUAAUGAUGCACUGUUCAAUAGCAUCAAAAUGUUUUACACUCUGAUGAGACUGACCAAGUAUUUCAGCUGGCUGAGGCUGUGGGUGAGAAACACCCCCGGGUGUCAGGUAAGAACUGCUGUGCUGGUUUGGAUCAUCUAACCCAUUCAUCUACUCUGCCUGCAUCAGGGGCUGUAAGCAGAUUUGCAUCAAUCAGUUAUUGCUAUUUCCAACGAUUUUCAGCUCAGAGGACUUCCUGAACCUGCUGUGGCUUGCCUGUGGCAGGCACCCCUCCAAACACUUGAGAGAGCAUGUAAGUUCCUUGCAUCCUCAGGGUGCUUUGGAAAGGACCUCCUCAGCAGGUCCAUGGCCUGCUGCAUGACAAACUCCUUCCUUCGGUUUGCUUGGAACUUGGCUCCUACCAGCUUCGUGAGCUGGUCCCUCAUUGUUCUGGAGACACAACCAACACUCCAUCCCUACCCACUCUCUGUGUCACUGAUGGUAUCAUAGCUUUCCCUGUGCUGUGUCUCACAUCUCAUAUCUUUUCCAGCUUUAGAAGUCCUAUUCUCCUGCACUGUUCCUUGUACAGAAGUUGUGUCACACCUUUGCUCACCCUGUUACUCCCCCUGAAUCUUUUCCAUCUCUUCUCUGUCCUUUUCAAGGGCCCAGAACUGCACUGACCAUUCAAGGUGCAGAUACAAGAUGGAUUUAUACAGCAGCACAGUGAUCUUUCUACUUUAUUGGCUUUUCCUUUUGUAGUAAUUCCAAAUAUUUAUUUGUUCUUUGACUGUUGCAGAGCCAUGAUUUUAUAUUUUCAAGAAAGUAUCUACAGUAGUUCAACCAAGGCUUCCUUCCUGAGUAGCAGCAGUAAGCAUGGAAAACAUUAUUUAUAUGUGAAGAUGAAGGUGCUUCUCCUUAAAUGCAUUCAUGGCUGUACACCUGCCUAGACCAAAUUUUAUUUGCCAUUAUUUGGACUUGUCAUUCUCUCUCUUAAGAUCUUCCUGAGGACUUCACCAUCUGUCUUUGUAUUCCCUACGAAUAACUUUGUAUUUGUACUUUGUAAGUAUUUGACCUCCCUGCUCACCACAUUUUGCAUUUUUCUGUCUCUGGAUUCGCUCUCCUGCUCACAUCUCUGCCUUUUCCUUGCUUUCACCUCUCCAAAGACUCACCCUUCGGAUUUCUUCACUUGGACCCAUUGUCCUUCACAUUCAUUGUCUGCAGCCUACAAUCCAGAAAAGUCAUACUCCUUUUUUUUGUACUUUCUACUUUGCCAUGUGGUUGAAAUCAUGUCAAACAGAGCUGUACCAAACCUCCAGUGUCUGAAGGGAGAUUGUCUCUGCUGAAAGGGGGAGAGAGAGAGAGGACAGGAUGCUCCUGCCAGGCAAAUGAAGUAAUAUUUAGGAAUUUCCAGAAAUAUUCAUGAUGUCAUUUUUAUUUUUUGAAAGCUAUAGAAAAUAAAGUUGUGGGUUUUGUUAACA
Long non-coding RNA from Junco hyemalis (dark-eyed junco), 1858 nucleotides. NCBI's taxonomy places the organism in Eukaryota, Metazoa, Chordata, Aves, Passeriformes, Passerellidae. The record is from Ensembl.